CACCACACACUACGUACUACUGUUGGAAAAAUUGACAGACCUCUAACAUUUUUCUACCAAUAUGUGUGUGAAUUCAAUUAUUUGUUAGACAAUUCCACAUCCUUUCUUAGCCUAUAUAAGCAUCCAUCCAUUCCCCCCCGUUCAAUGAUAAGCCCAUCUAUCUCUCUUAAAUUUUUCCCUUAGCUAGGCAAAAUGAGCACAAGGCGUUGGCCGAGACAUGUAACAGUUAGGGGAAGGAAGAGAAGGGCGAAAGUUUGUUUGGCCAAUAAUAAUGCUGUGAAAGUGAAACCUUCCUUGCAAAGGAAGCUUAGGGAGCUUCAGGGAGCAGUUCCUGGGAGUGAGGUAAUGGACAUGCACAAUUUUUUCCAAAGCAUUGAACAAUACAUACUUCUACUUGAAGCUAAAGUCACUGUCCUAAGGUGUUUGUCCAAUUUGUAUGGAGUAUAAAAGGAGACUCCUAAACUCCUAAGCACCCAACCUAUUUAAAAACACCAUCUGGGUUCUAGAGAAAGGGUGAAGGUAAGGUUAACACCAUUACCGGGCUUCUUUCAAUGUUGGGGUGUGGAGGUUGUAUUUUAUUUAAAAAUUCAAUAAUCUAUAAUAAAAGUUAGGAGUACCUUUUAUCGCU
Long non-coding RNA from Glycine soja, 628 nucleotides. RefSeq lists it as uncharacterized. NCBI's taxonomy places the organism in Eukaryota, Viridiplantae, Streptophyta, Magnoliopsida, Fabales, Fabaceae. The record is from RefSeq and is a predicted model, not a curated record. The transcript is spliced from 2 exons.